UACGUAGGGUGCAAGCGUUAAUCGGAAUUACUGGGCGUAAAGCGUGCGCAGGCGGUUGUGCAAGACAGAUGUGAAAUCCCCGGGCUUAACCUGGGAAUUGCAUUUGUGACUGUACGGCUAGAGUGUGUCAGAGGGGGGUAGAAUUCCACGUGUAGCAGUGAAAUGCGUAGAUAUGUGGAGGAAUACCGAUGGCGAAGGCAGCCCCCUGGGAUAACACUGACGCUCAUGCACGAAAGCGUGGGGAGCAAACAGG
Molecule: ribosomal RNA, 253 nt
Filed under: uncultured bacterium
Lineage: Bacteria
Description: partial 16S ribosomal RNA
Rfam family: Bacterial small subunit ribosomal RNA
Source: RNAcentral